RNAcentral lists this ribosomal RNA (685 nucleotides) under uncultured Vibrionaceae bacterium. RNAcentral's name for it is "bacterial SSU rRNA". It matches the Rfam family "Bacterial small subunit ribosomal RNA", at positions 1 to 671 of the family's 1533-position model. The record is from RNAcentral. Lineage: Bacteria; Pseudomonadati; Pseudomonadota; Gammaproteobacteria; Vibrionales; Vibrionaceae.
UAGAGUUUGAUCCUGGCUCAGAUUGAACGCUGGCGGCAGGCCUAACACAUGCAAGUCGAGCGGAAACGACACUAACAAUCCUUCGGGUGCGUUAAUGGGCGUCGAGCGGCGGACGGGUGAGUAAUGCCUAGGAAAUUGCCUUGAUGUGGGGGAUAACCAUUGGAAACGAUGGCUAAUACCGCAUAAUGCCUACGGGCCAAAGAGGGGGACCUUCGGGCCUCUCGCGUCAAGAUAUGCCUAGGUGGGAUUAGCUAGUUGGUGAGGUAAUGGCUCACCAAGGCGACGAUCCCUAGCUGGUCUGAGAGGAUGAUCAGCCACACUGGAACUGAGACACGGUCCAGACUCCUACGGGAGGCAGCAGUGGGGAAUAUUGCACAAUGGGCGAAAGCCUGAUGCAGCCAUGCCGCGUGUAUGAAGAAGGCCUUCGGGUUGUAAAGUACUUUCAGUUGUGAGGAAGGGGGUGUAGUUAAUAGCUGCAUCUCUUGACGUUAGCAACAGAAGAAGCACCGGCUAACUCCGUGCCAGCAGCCGCGGUAAUACGGAGGGUGCGAGCGUUAAUCGGAAUUACUGGGCGUAAAGCGCAUGCAGGUGGUUCAUUAAGUCAGAUGUGAAAGCCCGGGGCUCAACCUCGGAACUGCAUUUGAAACUGGUCAUCUAGAGUACUGUAGAGGGGGGUAGAAUUUCA